AAAUCACCCGAGCCUGCGGGAAGCCUGCGUUUCGACAGCGUGUACAUGCCACAGAGCCAUCAGACAAAAGGGCAAGAGUGGAAGCUAAAAAUCCAUUUCAAAAAGCAGAGAAAAGAAAUGAACAGCAACAACAACAAUGACAAAAAAAGCCAAAAGGUUAUUCCUUAUCAAUGUGAGAUGCCGUUUGUACUCCACACCAACACCACUGACUCCUUACACCGAGGAAAAUGAGGGAAAACCCUACAGCACUCUUCAUCAGCCAAACUGCUUGUUGUCUUUGAAACUAUAGAAGAAACAGCCACACAACGCUAUUUAGGGAAGAGCUGAGAAGACCUGUUUUUUGAUCUCCUUGUUCACUUACUUAUAAAGAAACAAGAUUUUAAUAUGUUAUUUUUUCUUCCAUAUUUUUAAAUAAUGUUGUUCUCAUAUUUUGUCCUGAAUAUGCAUUUCAUGAUUUAUUUUUUUUCUUCAUGCUAAUUCUGUAAAUUAUUAUUUAAUAUACAAGGUAAUGAAACAUUAGGCCUAAAGCACAGUUAGAGUUCAUCUGUCUUCUUGUGCAUUUUCCUACUGUCAUUCAUUCAAUCCAUUAGUAUGCCAGCUUUGUAUAUUUUGUCCUAACAAUCACUCUAGAAUGUUUUCAGAAUGCUAGAAUGGAUAUUGUGAAGCUAAUGACUCUAAAUAUCAAAUUAAUUUUCCUAUUGGCUAGAUAUUCUUGGUUUAGUAAUAUGUUAGUUUGAAAUAACCAAUAUUUCAAACACAGUUUCUUAUGUAUUUACUUUUUAUUUCAUUGAGCCAAACAAGAAUAAUGUGAAGCAACAAUACAAAUUAAUGUUAAAAGGAUUCAUAAUUUACUUUUUCUUAGUGAUGCUGAUAGCUGAAAGAGCAAUGGCAAAUAUAAUUAAGGUUGCAUAACUCUUCCAUUCUACCCUCUUUUUAAUUUUCUCAUAGCUUUCUUAAUUGAUCACUAUCCAUUCCCAAAGUUUAUAUUCACAGUUCCCAUCUGAAAGUGAUUGUUUGGUGGAAAUCUAUGUUUAAAAUGUUCCAACAGUUCUUGAGAAAGAAAAAAAAACUACAAAAAACAAACAAACAACAAAAAAACACAAAACCAAAACAAAAAUCAAAACAAUCCUACAAAACCAUUAUUUUUCCCAUAAAAAAUAACUGAAAGAGUCUGCCUUUUAUGCAUAGCUUCCAUUAAAAUAGCUUCAGGAGGAGGAUGAGGAGCCAAACA
RNAcentral lists this long non-coding RNA (1231 nucleotides) under Anser brachyrhynchus (Pink-footed goose). Its description in RNAcentral is "lncRNA (ENSABRG00000016202.1)". Lineage: Eukaryota; Metazoa; Chordata; Aves; Anseriformes; Anatidae. The record is from RNAcentral.